Molecule: non-coding RNA, 699 nt
Filed under: Pan troglodytes (chimpanzee)
Lineage: Eukaryota; Metazoa; Chordata; Mammalia; Primates; Hominidae
Source: RNAcentral
GUCGGCCGACGGAAGUGACGAUGGGGGCGGUGGGCGGAUGCCUACCGAGAGACCAGGGGAGCUAAGUGAUUGAUGGAGCUUCCGGAAGUCUUGGCGGCUGUACCAGCGCUAAUGUUCCUCCUUUUCCUGAGGUAUUCUAAUCACAGAAUUACUGGAGCAUCAAGAAGUGCCUGCAUGCUUGGAAGGGCUUCCAGGCAGAUGAACACACCUCAGCACCGGGUGGCAUUUUCCCAGGGUGCAACCCGGAGCGGCUCUGGGUCACACUGACAAGUGCACCCCUCCUGAGCUGAAGUGUUCCUGUUCUCUCCGCAGCCUCUCCAACUCCCCAGGCUGGGUUGGGUGCUCCUCCCUCUCAUCCCACAGCGCUAUGUCUCAUGUCUUCUGGAAAACUUGCCAAUCCCUAGUGACAACAGGGUUAACAAUUUCCAGAGACAGCCCGUACAUAGAAGGAAUGUUUACUGAAAAAAAUGAAGAGGGGUCAGGGCAAGGCGAGGAGCGAGAAGCACCCCCAAGGAAACAGAGAAGACCAGUACAACUGUACCUCUUUGCCAGCUGCACCAUCCGUACCAGGUGGCACGUUCCAGAGCCAUAGCCUCUGUUCUAUUCAUCUCCAGUCUCCUGGGGUGGAAGUGUCCAGCGCAGAGACUGCCACACUGCAAGAUGAAGGGGCUGGACACACGGAAGAGAGAGGCGGAACCC